This 301-nucleotide ribosomal RNA is filed under the name uncultured bacterium. RNAcentral's name for it is "partial 16S ribosomal RNA". It matches the Rfam family "Bacterial small subunit ribosomal RNA", at positions 509 to 807 of the family's 1533-position model. The record is from RNAcentral.
CAGUAGCCGCGGGAAUACGAAGGGGGCUAGCGUUGCUCGGAAUGACUGGGCGUAAAGCGCACGUAGGCGGAUUGUUAAGUCAGGGGUGAAAUGCCAAGGCUCAACCUUGGAACUGCCUUUGAUACUGGCAAUCUCGAGUCCGGGAGAGGUGAGUGGAACUGCGAGUGUAGAGGUGAAAUUCGUAGAUAUUCGCAAGAACACCAGUGGCGAAGGCGGCUCACUGGCCCAGUACUGACGCUGAGGUGCGAAAGCGUGGGGAGCAAACAGGAUUAGAUACCCCUGUAGUCCCUGUCUCUUAUAC